GAUGAACGCUGGCGGCGUGCUUAACACAUGCAAGUCGAACGGAAAGGCCCUGCGCUUGUGGCGUUCUCGAUUGGCGAACGGGUGAGUAACACGUGAGUAACCUGCCCUUGACAUUCGGAUAACUUCAGGAAAAUGGGGCUCAUACAGGAUAGGAGCUCCUGCUGCAUGGUGGGGGUUGGAGAGUUUCGGCGGUUGGGGCUGGACUCGCGGCUUAUCAGCUUGUUGGUCGGGUAGGGGAUUUCCAAGGCUUUGACGGGUAGGCGGCCUGAGAGCGUGACCGGCCACAUUGGGACUGAGAUACGGCCCAGACGCCAACGGGAGGCAGUAGUCGGGAAUAUGGCGCAAUGGGCGGAAGUCUGAUGCAGCAAUGCUGCGUGCGGGAUGACGGCUUACGGGUUGUAAACCGAUGUCGCCUGUGACGAAGAGUGAGUGACGGUAAUGGGUAAAGAAGCACCGGCUAACUACGUG
This 468-nucleotide ribosomal RNA is filed under the name uncultured bacterium. RNAcentral's name for it is "partial 16S ribosomal RNA". It matches the Rfam family "Bacterial small subunit ribosomal RNA", at positions 28 to 507 of the family's 1533-position model. The record is from RNAcentral.